This 260-nucleotide unclassified non-coding RNA is filed under the name uncultured Chaetothyriales. RNAcentral describes it as "sequence contains 5.8S rRNA gene, ITS2, 28S rRNA gene". The stretch from base 1 to 52 matches the Rfam family "5.8S ribosomal RNA", at positions 103 to 154 of the family's 154-position model. The record is from RNAcentral. Lineage: Eukaryota; Fungi; Ascomycota; Eurotiomycetes; Chaetothyriales.
AACGCACAUUGCGCCCAUUGGUAUUCCGAUGGGCAUGCCUGUUCGAGCGUCAUUAUCCUCCCUCAAACCUCGGGUUUGGUGUUGGACCGCGUUGGCCGAGCGACCAACUGGUCUCAAAGACAAUGACGGCGUCCGUGGGACCCUCGGUGCAACGAGCUUCUAAGGAGCACGCGUCGAGUUUCAAGGACCCUCCGGGCCGGUCUUGACCUCUAUCUUCUCAGGUUGACCUCGGAUCAGGUAGGAAUACCCGCUGAACUUAA